AUGCAAGUCGAACGAUGCUUUCGGGCAUAGUGGCGCACGGGUGCGUAACGCGUGGGAAUCUGCCCUUGGGUUUGGAAUAACAGUUAGAAAUGACUGCUAAUACCAAAUGAUGUCUUCGGACCAAAGAUUUAUCGCCCAGGGAUGAGCCCGCGUAGGAUUAGGUAGUUGGUGGGGUAAAGGCCUACCAAGCCGACGAUCCUUAGCUGGUCUGAGAGGAUGAUCAGCCACACUGGGACUGAGACACGGCCCAGACUCCUACGGGAGGCAGCAGUGGGGAAUAUUGGACAAUGGGCGAAAGCCUGAUCCAGCAAUGCCGCGUGAGUGAUGAAGGCCUUAGGGUUGUAAAGCUCUUUUACCCGGGAAGAUAAUGACUGUACCGGGAGAAUAAGCCCCGGCUAACUCCGUGCCAGCAGCCGCGGUAAUACGGAGGGGGCUAGCGUUGUUCGGAAUUACUGGGCGUAAAGCGCACGUAGGCGGCUUGGUAAGUUAGAGGUGAAAGCCCGGAGCUCAACUCCGGAAUUGCCUUUAAGACU
RNAcentral lists this ribosomal RNA (533 nucleotides) under Novosphingobium sp. Z2NS-249. Its description in RNAcentral is "bacterial SSU rRNA". It matches the Rfam family "Bacterial small subunit ribosomal RNA", at positions 55 to 634 of the family's 1533-position model. Lineage: Bacteria; Pseudomonadati; Pseudomonadota; Alphaproteobacteria; Sphingomonadales; Sphingomonadaceae. The record is from RNAcentral.